This 235-nucleotide long non-coding RNA is filed under the name Elaeis guineensis (African oil palm). Its description in RNAcentral is "long non-coding RNA (EGUI_LNC025163)". The record is from RNAcentral. Lineage: Eukaryota; Viridiplantae; Streptophyta; Magnoliopsida; Arecales; Arecaceae.
AAAAAAAGGUGUGACUGACUAGCAAAAGUGAACAAUAAAAAGGAUCACUGUUUCGUAAGUGAAUCAUAAAAUGGCAUCAUUUUAUAAGACUCUAGGCACUGGUUGAUUGCCUUUUCAUAACUAGGACACUGGGCACUAGUUGAUUGCCCCUAUUGCAACCUACAGUGUCCUUUAUUGACAUCUUAAUCAAGGUACAGAAGGCACGUGCAAUACUUUAUUGACAUCUUAAUCAAGG